CCUACGGGUGGCAGCAGUGGGGAAUAUUGCACAAUGGGGGAAACCCUGAUGCAGCGACGCCGCGUGAGUGAAGAAGUAAUUCGUUAUGUAAAGCUCUAUCAGCAGGGAAGAAAAUGACGGUACCUGAGUAAGACGCCCCGGCUAACUACGUUCCAGCAGCCGCGGUAAUACGUAGGGGGCAACCGUUAUCCGGAUUUACUGGGUGGAAAGGGAGCGUAGACGGCAGUGCAAGUCUGGAGUGAAAGGCGGGGGCUCAACCCCCGGACUGCUCUGGAAACUGUACGGCUGGAGUGCAGGAGAGGUAAGUGGAAUUCCUAGUGUAGCGGUGAAAUGCGUAGAUAUUAGGAGGAACACCAGUGGCGAAGGCGGCUUACUGGACUGUAACUGACGUUGAGGCUCGAAAGCGUGGGGAGCAAACAGGAUUAGAUACCCUUGUAGUC
This 440-nucleotide ribosomal RNA is filed under the name uncultured bacterium. RNAcentral's name for it is "partial 16S ribosomal RNA". It matches the Rfam family "Bacterial small subunit ribosomal RNA", at positions 338 to 795 of the family's 1533-position model. The record is from RNAcentral.